UCCAGGGUAGCCUAGUGGACAUGGCAUCUGCCCGGUAAGCGGAACACAGUGGGUUUGAUUCCCAUCCCUGGAC
Molecule: transfer RNA, 73 nt
Filed under: Cordylochernes scorpioides
Lineage: Eukaryota; Metazoa; Arthropoda; Arachnida; Pseudoscorpiones; Chernetidae
Description: tRNA-Thr
Rfam family: tRNA
About the family: Transfer RNA (tRNA) molecules are approximately 80 nucleotides in length.
Source: RNAcentral